RNAcentral lists this small RNA (125 nucleotides) under Marmota monax (woodchuck). Lineage: Eukaryota; Metazoa; Chordata; Mammalia; Rodentia; Sciuridae. The record is from RNAcentral.
GCCGGGCUUGGUGGCUCACGCCUGUAAUCCCAGCAGCUAGGGAGGCUGAGGCAGGAGGAUUGCAAGUUCAAAGCCAGCCUCAGCAAAAGAGAGGUGCUAAGCAACUCAGUGAGACCCUGUCUCUA